This 333-nucleotide long non-coding RNA is filed under the name Bos taurus (domestic cattle). RNAcentral describes it as "long non-coding RNA NONBTAT016371". The record is from RNAcentral. Lineage: Eukaryota; Metazoa; Chordata; Mammalia; Artiodactyla; Bovidae.
UGAUAACUUUCAAAACUUCAGUUCAAGACUUCAAAGAAGUUAAAUAAAGAUUGUAGGGCAUGGAAAUAAGGAAAGAUGGACAAAAUGCUGUCCUAAUGGUGAGUGCCAGAUGGCACAGGGUUUUCAGAAGUUAAACUGAUGACCUGGAAAGUAAACUUGGAAGUAGGAGAGUUAGGUCUCCUGGAAGAUGCCUGUAGAUUUGCUCAGUUUGUCUCUUGAGAGUGACUGAGGGCAAGCAAGGCUUAAGCUGUGGGAUCUCACUGGUUAUAGAGUGCUGGGGAGAGGGCCCCUUGAAGGAAAAAUACCUCAGUCAUUAACGUAAAUCCCUUUAUU